This 680-nucleotide ribosomal RNA is filed under the name archaeon enrichment culture clone A21D60. RNAcentral describes it as "bacterial SSU rRNA". It matches the Rfam family "Archaeal small subunit ribosomal RNA", at positions 21 to 707 of the family's 1478-position model. The record is from RNAcentral.
GGUUACUGCUAUCGAGGUUCGACUAAGCCAUGCGAGUCGAAUGUAGCAAUACAUGGCGAACUGCUCAGUAACACGUGGACAACCUGCCCUUAGGUUGGGUAUAAACCCGGGAAACUGGGUAUAAUACCCGAUAGGUCUCGAUUGCUGGAAUGCAUCGAGAUUUAAAGCUCCGGCGCCUAAGGAUGGGUCUGCGGCCUAUCAGGUAGUAGUGGGUGUAGCGUACCUACUAGCCUACGACGGGUACGGGUUGUGAGAGCAAGAGCCCGGAGAUGGAUUCUGAGACACGAAUCCAGGCCCUACGGGGUGCAGCAGGCGCGAAAACUUUACAAUGCUGGCAACAGCGAUAAGGGAACCUCGAGUGCCAGGUUACAAAUCUGGCUGUCGAGAUGCCUAAAAAGCAUUUCAUAGCAAGGGCCGGGCAAGACCGGUGCCAGCCGCCGCGGUAACACCGGCGGCUCGAGUGGUAACCGUUAUUAUUGGGUCUAAAGGGUCUGUAGCCGGCCGGAUAAGUCUCUUGAGAAAUCUGGCAGCUUAACUGUCAGGCUUUCACGAGAUACUGUCUGGCUCGAGGCCGGGAGAGGUGAGAGGUACUUCAGGGUAGGGGUGAAAUCUUGUAAUCCUUGAAAGGACCACCAGUGGCGAAGGCGUCUCACCAGAACGGACCUGACGGCAAGGGACGA